UGGGCUAUUUUACUUACCUCAUUUUCUUACUCAUUCUGUUUUUUUGUUUUGUUUGGUUUGGUUUUUUGGUUUUUUCUGUUUGUUUUUUGUUUUUUGUCUUUUUAUGGCCACACAUGUGGCAUAUGGGAAGUUUCUAGGCUAGGGGUCCAGUCAGAGCUACAGCUGCCAGCCACAGCCACAGCCAUGCAGGAUCCGAGCUUCGUCUGAGACCUACACCACAGCUCACGGUAAUGCCAGAUCCUUAACGCACUGGGCGAGGCCAGGGAUCGAACCCAUAACCUCAUUGUUCCUAGUCGGAUUUGUUUCUACUGCGCCACAACGGAAACUCCAGUUUUGUCUUUUUAAAUUGAUUUGCAGGAGUUCUUUAUAGAGUUUUAGUCCUUUGUGUGUAAUACAUUUUGCAAAUAUUUUCCCCCUAAUUUAAUGUCUCACCACAACACUGUAUCUUUUGACAAACAGAAGAUCUUAAUUUUUUUAAAUUUUAUUUUCAUGGCCGCACCCACAGUAUAUGGAAGUUCCCAGGCCAGGGAUUGUAUCCAAGCCACAGCUGUGACCUACAUCACAGCUGCAGCAACUUCAGAUACUUAAAACCACUGUGCCAGGCCGGGGAGCGAACAUGUACCUCUGCAGCAACUUGAGGCACUGCAAUUGGAUUCUUAACCCGGAGUGCUACAGUGGGAACUCCCAAUCUUAAUUUUAUUUAUUUAUUUAUUUAUUGUCUUUUUGCCUUUUCUAGGGCCGCAACCGUGGCAUAUGGAGGUUCCCAGGCUAAGGGUCGAAUCAGAGCUGCAGCCACCAGCCUAUGCCAGAGCCACAGCAAUGCCAGAUCCAAGCCGUGUCUUUGACCCACACCGCAGCUCAUGGCAGUGCCAGAUCUUUAACCCACUGAGCAAGGCCAGGGAUCGUUUCUAGUUGGAUUCGUUAACCACUGUGCCAUGGCAGGAACUCUCCAAUCUUAAUUUUAAUAUAGGUGAAUUUAUGAAUCAUCGUUUUAUAGUUGGUGGGAAGAACACUACUUGAAGUCAAGUAUUCUAUUUUGUCUUCUAAAAGUUGUAAAGUUUUGCCUUUCAAGUGUAUGGUUUUUGCAUAUAGGGUGAGGAGUCAUGCAGCCUCUGACUCCCUUUUGGGCUUUGUGACCUCCUAUAAAUGAUUUCUUCCACAUCAAUGUCCUUGACUGCAAAAAUGAGACCCUGAUCCCUACUGUGUGUAAAGUUCUCGUGAGGUUAGAAUACAGCAUCCCAGCACACUGAGCCCCAAAUCUCAGUAGCUAUUCAGUAAUUGCUCCUUGGUCUAAGUCCAACUGCAUUCCCUAAGCAUGUGGACACUCAAGGAAAGUUGGCAAUUAACUGGGGAAGUUGUUGCUAGUACACAGCCUGCCAACUGCUACAACCAUCGCCAGGCUGGGUCUGAAUGCUCAGCAAAUCCCCCCACAGGGCACUGGCAGCUUGGAGAAUGUUCAUCCCUGUGCAGACUUGCCUGCUGCAGGCAGGUGCUCAGUCUUAGAGCUGAUUAGUGCAAAUCUGAUUCAUUGUAGAAAUGACUGCUUCCUAACUCCCUGGUACAGUCACAAAGUGGAGUCUGGACAUUCUAACCAGGAGCUUUGGACCUUGAAAGGAGCUUGCUUAGUUUCUGCCAAUGACAACAUGUGCACACACGUUGUGCAUUCCUGUGAGCAAACAGGAGGCUUGGGAUCUGUUUUUGUUGUUGUUGUUGUUUUUCAUUUGGCCACCUCGAGGUAUUUGGAGUUCCUGGGGCAGGAUCAGAGCCGAGCUGCAGUUGUGACCUAUGCUGCAGGUGCGGCAGUGCUGGAUCCUUAACCCACUGUGCAGGGCUGGGGAUCAAACCUUUGUCCCAGCACUUCCAGGAUUGCUGCAGAUCCUGUUGCACCACAGCAGGAACUAAUGGUUGGUUUUUUUGUUUUUGUUUUUGUCACAACCUUGACUCAUGGGGAGAUAGAAGGGCUGGGAUUGUGUGGUGUACAAUUAGAGAUGUCUGUGAUCAGAGAGGCCUUGCGUUUCCCUCUGGAGAAAAGUAAUGACCACAAAGCAUGGGCGGGCAUUUCUUAGUGUGUUCUGGGAGGUCAGAUGUCAGAAAGGAGACCAAAGGGCAUCAACUUCAAGCCUUGUUCAUGGAGUCUCUUGCAGUGGCUAUUGCACUCUCUUGAGCCUUUUUCAGUUGCACUUCCCAUUGUUCCUGCUUGCCAUUUUGAUCAGGAGCUUCCUUAUACAUGUUUUAUGGAGGGGACCACCGAGUUGGGCAGGCCAUCAAACAUUUGUUGAUCCUUUUCAACCCUGUAAUGUCCACACUUGAAAAACUGGAGACGUCCCAAUGAAAAACAGCUGGGUAGUGGUUUGUAAGCUUUGGUCUUUUGUGGUGGGUAGUGGCUGCCAUAUCACAGUUAAAGGUGACAGAUAGAAUCAAUACACAUGUCCCAUCCACACCAGAACACAGUAGGAAGGGAAUAUUGAUUGUAAAUAAUCCUGUGGGCUUACACAUGUGAAAAUAGAUGUUGUGAUGCAGGGUGACCUUUCCCUACUUGUGUAACUUUGUUAUCUUUUAUUGUGAUGACAGCUAAAUGUUUUAAUCAGGAGCGCUCAGUCAACAGGCAAAGUUGAUUUGUUUGUUGCUGCUUGCUCCCUCUAAACCAGAAGUGUUCUGUUUCCAGUAAAGUUGUUUGUCUCUCCAGCACUCGUUGCCUAGGAGUCCCCCUCCCAACCCUAUAGGAGCAAAGAUUUACUAGUCAAGAUUUAACCCAAACUGUAAAAUUGGGCCAAGGUCCUCUAGGAAAUAUUAAGUAUGAAAAAUUAUUCUACACAGUAGCUUUGUUUGAUCAGGGUAAGUUAAUUUUCUCAAAAGAUUAAUGAUAGAGCUCCAUGGUGGGUUAAGAAGGGUUAAGGAUCUGGCGCUGGCGCUGCCAUGGCUUGAGAUGCUUCUGUGGUGUGGAUCCAAUCCCUGGCCCUGGAACUUCUAUAUGCGUGGAUGCAGAAAAAAAAAAAA
Molecule: long non-coding RNA, 2997 nt
Filed under: Sus scrofa (pig)
Lineage: Eukaryota; Metazoa; Chordata; Mammalia; Artiodactyla; Suidae
Description: lncRNA (ENSSSCG00015024349.1)
Source: RNAcentral